RNAcentral lists this ribosomal RNA (490 nucleotides) under uncultured bacterium. Its description in RNAcentral is "partial 16S ribosomal RNA". It matches the Rfam family "Bacterial small subunit ribosomal RNA", at positions 30 to 507 of the family's 1533-position model. The record is from RNAcentral.
AUUGAACGCUGGCGGCAGGCUUAACACAUGCAAGUCGAACGGUAACAUAAAGGAGCUUGCUUCUUUGAUGACGAGUGGCGGACGGGUGAGUAAUGCUUGGGAAUCUAGCUUAUGGAGGGGGAUAACUACGGGAAACUGUAGCUAAUACCGCGUAGAAUCGGGAGAUGAAAGUGUGGGACCUUCGGGCCACAUGCCAUAGGAUGAGCCCAAGUGGGAUUAGGUAGUUGGUGAGGUAAAGGCUCACCAAGCCGACGAUCUCUAGCCGGUCUGAGAGGAUGACCAGCCACACUGGGACUGAGACACGGCCCAGACUCCUACGGGAGGCAGCAGUGGGGAAUAUUGCGCAAUGGGGGCAACCCUGACGCAGCCAUGCCGCGUGAAUGAAGAAGGCCUUCGGGUUGUAAAGUUCUUUCGGUAGCGAGGAAGGCAUUUAGUUUAAUAGACUAGGUGAUUGACGUUAACUACAGAAGAAGCACCGGCUAACUCCGUG